Molecule: long non-coding RNA, 221 nt
Organism: Octopus sinensis (East Asian common octopus)
Lineage: Eukaryota; Metazoa; Mollusca; Cephalopoda; Octopoda; Octopodidae
Exons: 2
Source: RefSeq, a predicted model, not a curated record
GAUCUUUUCCAGUUGUUCACGCAAUGAUCUCGUGUUCGCGUUGCGAUUCACGGAGAGACAAAUAUUAUGGAGAAUGUGAGCAGUCCCCACCGCCUCCAAAACCAUGUCCUAAAAAUAGUAAUUCACAUUUCUGCUCUAUAAUAAGGGAGACAGAAUUCAGUGGUACCCCAGUGCGAUUCGCCAGGGAUUGUGCGCCGACAUACAUAGAGGAAGAUUGCGUU